Molecule: transfer RNA, 77 nt
Filed under: Hyphomonadaceae bacterium UKL13-1
Lineage: Bacteria; Pseudomonadati; Pseudomonadota; Alphaproteobacteria; Hyphomonadales; Hyphomonadaceae
Also listed under: 4 other names
Description: tRNA-Pro
Rfam family: tRNA
About the family: Transfer RNA (tRNA) molecules are approximately 80 nucleotides in length. Their secondary structure includes four short double-helical elements and three loops (D, anti-codon, and T loops).
Source: RNAcentral
CGGAGCGUAGCGCAGCUUGGUAGCGCACUUGUCUGGGGGACAAGGGGUCGUGGGUUCGAAUCCCGCCGCUCCGACCA